GACGAACGCUGGCGGCGUGCCUAAUACAUGCAAGUAGAACGCUGAAGGAGGAGCUUGCUCUUCUGGAUGAGUUGCGAACGGGUGGGUAACGCGUAGGUAACCUGCCUGGUAGCGGGGGAUAACUAUUGGAAACGAUAGCUAAUACCGCAUAACAGUAGAUGUUGCAUGACAUUUACUUAAAAGGUGCAAUUGCAUCACUACCAGAUGGACCUGCGUUGUAUUAGCUAGUUGGUGGGGUAACGGCUCACCAAGGCGACGAUACAUAGCCGACCUGAGAGGGUGAUCGGCCACACUGGGACUGAGACACGGCCCAGACUCCUACGGGAGGCAGCAGUAGGGAAUCUUCGGCAAUGGACGGAAGUCUGACCGAGCAACGCCGCGUGAGUGAAGAAGGUUUUCGGAUCGUAAAGCUCUGUUGUAAGAGAAGAACGAGUGUGAGAGUGGAAAGUUCACACUGUGACGGUAUCUUACCAGAAAGGGACGGCUAACUACGUG
RNAcentral lists this ribosomal RNA (495 nucleotides) under uncultured bacterium. RNAcentral describes it as "partial 16S ribosomal RNA". It matches the Rfam family "Bacterial small subunit ribosomal RNA", at positions 28 to 507 of the family's 1533-position model. The record is from RNAcentral.